AACGAACGUUAGCGGCGCGCUUAACACAUGCAAGUCGAGCGAGAAAGGGCUUCGGCCCCAGUACAGCGGCGCACGGGUGAGUAACACGUGGGUAAUCUACCCCUGAGUGGUGGAUAACCCUCCGAAAGGAGGGCUAAUACAGCAUAAGACCACGGCGUCCUCGGAUGUCGCGGCCAAAGCGGGCCUCUUCAUGAAAGCUCGUGCUCGGGGAUGAGCCCGCGGCCCAUCAGCUUGUUGGCGAGGUAAAAGCUCACCAAGGCAAAGACGGGUAGCUGGUCUGAGAGGAUGAACAGCCACACUGGAACUGAGACACGGUCCAGACUCCUACGGGAGGCAGCAGUGGGGAAUCUUGCGCAAUGGGCGAAAGCCUGACGCAGCGACGCCGCGUGAGCGAUGAAGGCCCUCGGGUCGUAAAGCUCUGUGGGGGGAGAAGAAGAAAGCCGGUGAAGAGCCGGCCCUGACGGUAUCCCCUUAGCAAGCACCGGCUAACUCCGUGCCAG
Molecule: ribosomal RNA, 500 nt
Filed under: uncultured bacterium
Lineage: Bacteria
Description: bacterial SSU rRNA
Rfam family: Bacterial small subunit ribosomal RNA
Source: RNAcentral